This is a non-coding RNA of Podarcis lilfordi (Lilford's wall lizard), 22773 nucleotides long. NCBI's taxonomy places the organism in Eukaryota, Metazoa, Chordata, Lepidosauria, Squamata, Lacertidae. The record is from the annotation of a GenBank genome assembly.
UGACACUACUCUCAACUGACACUACUAAAUUUGCUUAUAUGGCUUUUAAUCAAUGUCUAGCCCCAACACAUUUUAAAAGGGCAUUGGAUGUCAAUCAGAUCAAGCAAAGGCUUGAUUAAAAAGGAACGUUUUUGCCUGGUGCCUAAAGGUGUAUAAUGAAGGUGCCAGGCAAACUUCCCUGGGGAGAGCUUUCCACAGAUGGGGAGCCAUUAAAGAAGGCCCGUUCUCGUGUUGCCACCCUACGGACCUCUCAUGAAGGAGGCACACGAAGAAGGGCCUCAGAAGAUGAUCCCAGCAUCCAGGUAGGUUCAUAUGGGAAGAGACAGUCUUUGAGGUAUUGCUGUCCUGAGCUGUUUAAGGCUUUAUAGGUCAAAACCAAUAAAGGCUUCUAAAGGCCAGUUACAUGGAAUCACAAGUAGGGAGAGUGCUGUUGCAAUCAGGUGGUGCUUGUGCAUUUUCCAUGGGAAUCUGUUGGCCAUUGUGAGAACAGGAUUGCCAGGGACUGACUGGAUAACAGGGAUGUUGGGAGGCACCAGCUGGCAAACCCCCUAGGGAAGCCUCAGAGAAGGAAGGCUCAGAGCCAGUGGAGUGGUGGGACAUUGAGAACAGGUCUCAGUGAGAAGGAAGAGCCAAGGGCAGAAAGCAGUUAAGACUCAGCUCAUGAAGCUUUCCAAGAGCUUUCCUGGCUACAUGGGCAACCUCUGGAGGAAGGGGGGGUGUCUUAUGGAAGGUGGUCCUGCCUUGAAGCUUCUCUGCGUUGUUGGCUGUUUUCUUGUAUAAAGAAUUAGACUUCCUGUUCGUCUCUGUGUUUGAGUGCUGGCCUGCACCUGAGUCAGCCCUGACAAGGACGCUGAUCUAGAUGAGCCAUUGGCUCCAUUCAGCAGGACUCUCUUUAUGUUCUUAAGCCUGAGGUUCCUGCAUGAAACCCCUUUUCUGCUGUACCCAGGUAUGUAACUGCCAUACAUAUACUCCAUGUUUUUCUUUUUCAGAACAAAAUUGUUUUCAAUCUAGGCAUUGAAAGCUCACUGAUGAUAGGUGGGCAGCAAGAAUGGCAGAUGGUGGAGAAAAGGUUCAGAAGGUUCCAACCUAGGAAUCAAAAAUGGGUAGCAUGGGGCUGGAUCUACACUGAUCUAAAAAAACACACAAAAAGAAGCUAAGAAAAAAAGACCAUGUUAUAUAGCUCUCAAUGCAAUUUUCCAUUGACUGCUGUACAGAGACACACACACACACCCCAGUGUCACAUUUUAUAACACGUUUAUAGUGUUAUAACUCACCAGUAUAGAUUAGUCUACAGUCUUUCGUGACAAAACAUGCACAGUGGUUGUGUUACAGCCAGACUGAGAGUUGUAUCUAGGGAUGGGGAAACUUAGUUGGACAAUAUCUUUUUCUGUCUGUUAAAAAGUUAAUCUCAUCCACACACUCCCCCCCCCCCUGUGAUUUGCUCAGUACCACAUCUUUACUGAAGAAGUAUCUCCCUGGUCUUUCCGCUCCUUGGCUUUCACAGAAGUCGGAGCAGAACUGUUUAUUUACUCUAAAUCUUAAGUCAGGAGCAGCUCUCAAGAGUUGUAAAAUGUUGAAUGGGGAGAGCCUUGUGCUGAUAGAGAACCUAAUGACUGCUGAGCUACUUUCAGAUUGGAUUUGAGCUCUGCACUCCUUUUUUACCUGGUCAUAAAAAAGGAGAGGUGGAAAGUGGGGGGGGGGGGACUGUGGCAGCCCACUUAGGAAGUCCCUUAACAGGUUUUCUGAGCUUAAAUGUACAUUCCUUUAAGUAUCUGUUAAUUACUUUACUAUGAUGAUGAGCCCCUGUGUAAUGUCAGACUUCCCACAAAGCCCAUUGUUAGCCGGCCCGUCAACCACUUAAUGCUUCUGAUUCACAGACGAGGGGUCUAGGUUUAUUGUCUACUGGGAAUUAUUUUAAUGUAGUACAAAAGAGUGCUGGAGAUGGCUUAAUGGCUCUGAGAGCAAGGCUGUUAUAAUGCUCACAUUGUAGUUCUAGACAGCCCAAACCCUGGUUUGCUUUUAAAGUUAUGGCAUUAAAAAGGGGGGGGGGACGGACUCAGGUCACAGAGACUUAAAUCAUAAGUGCAUAUCUGAACUGCUGAUGUGGUAACUAGUAGCAGUGUAUGGCGUGCUUUUAACCUGCAAUUUGCUGUGUUCUGGAGAUCAGGUUAUACAAUCUUUCGCAUUAACCCAGCCCAUAAAAUGUGUGCCUGUAAUACAUUACAGUCCAUGCUCAUCAGAGAAGGAACAGUAAAAACUGUAAGGAAAAUUCCGCUGAAAUAGAACUUGGAAGAAGAGAAAGUCGAAAUUCUCCUAGAGUUUGUUUUGUAUGGGUUAGGGCCAACUAAGGCUAUGUACACAUUAGAGACUGAAAAUGCAACACACGCACACAAAUCCUGCAUUCUAAGUUGUAUUUGUAUGCUGUUGUACACACCAGAGAGGGGGCAGGGAUGUCUUCACGCAAUGCACAUUACCUGUUUGAUUUCCCCACCCUGCAACCUGCCCCAUAUGAACCUUACAUCCUUUGAACCCUAUCAGAAAUCCUAUACAAGGCUCUCCAACCCUCAAAAUGUUGUUGUUGUGGUUAAUGUUGUGGUGCUCCAGUUGUGGAAUAUCCACCCCAGAGAGUCUCCUCGUAGUGCAAAAUCAGCUGACCUUUAAUUGCAAGGUUUAGACAAUUUUAUUCCCCAAAACUUUUAAUGGGUGAUACAAUUUUUAUCUCCAUUCAUUCAUCACUCUACCCUUCUCUGCCUUGUUUCACUAUUAAUGCUAUUUUGUUUUACCCCAAUUUUGCUGGUGUUGUAUUAGAGAGCCUUUUAAAAUACUUGCAUUAUUCUAAUGUAUUGUUUUGUACUUAAUAUUUUUAUAUUACGGUAACUUUGAAAAUACAGUGGUACCUCGGGUUAUAGACACUUCAGGUUACAUACGCUUUAGGUUACAGACUCCGCUAACCCAGAAAUAGUACCUCGUGUUAAGAACUUUGCUUCAGGAUGAGAACAGAAAUCGUGCAGCAGGAGGAGGCCCCAUUAGCUAAAGUGGUGCUUCAGGUUAAGAACAGUUUCAGGUUAAGAACGGACCUCCAGAAUGAAUUAAGUUCUUAACCCAAGGUACCACUGUACAAUCAAUUACAAUUCCCCUACUGUUUUCCACACAAUAGCAACCCCAACUCUGUUCAGUUGUAUUAGUAAUAAUAAAGGUAAAGGUAAAGGACCCCUGGAUGGUUAAGUUCAGUCAAAAACAACUAUGGGGUUGUGGCGCUCAUCUUGCUUUCAGGCCGAGGGAGCUGACAUUUGUCCACAGACAGCUUUCUGGGUCAUGAGGCCAGCAUGACUAAACCGCUUCUGGCACAAUGGAACACCAUGACAGAAACCAGAGUGCACAGAAAUGCUGUUUACCUUCCAGCCACAGAGGUACCUAUUAUCUACUUGCACUGGUGUGCUUUUGAACAGCUAGGUUGGCAGGAGCUAGGACAGAGCAACGGGAGCUCACCCCGUCAUGGGGAUUCGAACUCCCAACCUUCCAAUCAGCAAACCCAAGAAGCUCAGUGGUUUAGACCACAGCACCACCCACGUCCCUAAUAAUAAAUAUGACAUUAAUUCAAUAGUUGUCCAUUUUAAAAGUGUCAUCCCACAGAUUCCCUUGUGUUGUGGGUGGUUUUUUACACAUUUUCUUUCUUUGUUGAAAAUGAAAUAAAAGUGAGCCACGUUUUGUAAAUGUUUUGUGGAUUCUUAUAUUGUCUUCUUUCUCAUACUUUUUUCUGUCGAAUUUUCCAUCAAAAUUAAACCCCAAACAUAGGCAUACAAAAUUUCAAAUAAGUUCACAUUCAAUGUCCUCCAUUAAUGUUCUUAAUUGAUAUUUUUUUAAAAAAAAGUUUUUGUGACUACGUUGGGAGUUUCUUAUGGAAAGGUGUGAUAUAAAUAUCUAAAACACAUACAUUCGUACAAUCAUCGGGAGGACUAAUCGCUAAGAUUACAUUGGACUGCAGACAUCUUUAGCGGUUCAUUUAUUAUGGCUCAUAUGCAUACAGCUUCAUUCAUGAGACUAAAGAUGAUAGAUCAACUCUCAUCCAUGUAUAUCCGAGUUUGUAAAAAUAUAGUGCAAAAUAACUGAAAUGCUUGUGAGAAGACAAAAUGUAUCAGAACAAACAGGCUAAAAUAUAAGUACGGGUGGUUUGGUGUGAAGAGCAUGAACUAUCGUGAGAACAUAUAAUGCUUCGAAAGGUAAGCAUGUCUCAAAAGUACAAGAGAUGUUAAAUCAUGUUAAGCUUUCAAAUGGUGGUUGAAAGAAUAUGUAUUGAGAGGUGGAUUAAACUGACAUAAAGGCUGCAGAACAGAAUCUAAAAUAUUUGAGAGGCAACAUGUGAGAAUUCAGAUGAUGAUGUGCAGUGAAAACCAUUCGUCCUCCGAGCCUUCACUUUCUUACAUAACUGCAACGCAAAAUUGCAUUUUUGGAUAAUGCUGGCUUUUUGGUUUUGGAACACAUUUGCAUAAAUAAUAAAACCCUGGAAUGGAUCUCAGCACUCUUCAAACUGUGAAAUAUGACCCAAUAUAGGCCAGAUUCCAAAGUGCCAUGGGUAGUGUUCUGCUUAGAGGUUUUCAGCUUCCACUUCCAUCAGGAAUGCUCCUGAAAAAUCUCUGGAACAGCCCCCUAGGAGAUGUAUGAGGCGGUUGGUGGAAGGAAAUAUCUCUCCGAUGCAUGUGGAGGUGUUUUCUGCUCACACUCACGGGCACUUGGACCCUGGCCAUGGGAUUUCAAACGUGUCUACGGUCAUUAUAAGACUAUGUGCAUGUAAAGGUUGUCUAAAUAUGACUUUAGAUGAAAGAUUCCAGAUUUAGAAUAAUGUAAUUGAAAUUAGAAAUGGGCUCAUUCUGUUAGAGAUGUGAAUAAUUGCUUGCUUUGUUCACAAACUGCAGUCUAUCAUGGGUGGUAGAAUUUGUGCAUCAUGAAUAUGUUAUGCCAGACUUUAGCCAAAGCCAUGACAUAUCCCAGAAAUUAACUAAGGGAAAUCUGUUUCUCAUUAUUCUCUGAUGUUCACUGAUUUAUUUGCUUUCACUAACAAAGAAUUUUGCGUCCUGAUCUUGGUAUCUACUUAGCUUACAGUUAACCCUUCCACACUGGGCUUGUGUCUGGUUUUUUUAAAAAACCAAAAAACUAUUGCAUUGCCUACAUCCUGGUCCUGGAUCAAAUUUACUGUGUCCUUAUUGCAUCCAGUUUAUGCUCAUGGCACAGUGAACAUUUUUUGCAUUAUUAUUAUUUUUUUGAAAUUUUACAUUCAGGACCUGUAUGUAAUCCAAAACCUGGUACAAGUUUGGAUAAUGAUUCAUCUCAAGCACCAUCUCGCUUCAGCUUUGCGUAAAUAACGUUAUUGUUUACGUUGGUCGCAAUGAUUUCAGAGUUGGCUGAAAACUCAAUGAGCCAGAAAUUGUCCAUUGAGGUAUGCAUCAUUCCUCGGGGUUACCGUCUAUUCAUUUCUUCUUGUCAAAUAGCUAGCAUAUUAACAACUUAUAUUGUCAAACAAAUGAGUGACCCAAUGCACUGGUUUUUGUUUCAGAUUCUGCACAGAGACAUGACUCGUCCUCUUUUUCAGUCAAGGCAAAUUGAAAUGGUGCACACCACAAUCCGUAUCCAUGAGAUAAGACUGUACAGGUCAAAUUUAAUACCACCUAGGAGUGGUAUUUAAAAUGUAGCCUGGCAGUGCCAAUAGCCGCUCCUCGCGCAUCACUCACACUAAGCUUGGGCAUGGCUCACAACUUAUAGUGGAUGCAUUGUGAAUUCAAUACAGUCAGCUACCCUUUCCAGUUCUGGCUAUGACGGAAGGUGGAGGCUCCAUUGGUUUUUUUUAAAGUGGUACUACUGGAAUUGUAAUGAAUUGCAGUGUGAAUGGCUUACGUUAAUGGGUAGGAAUUGAGUAGGGUAGCUUGGGGAGGGAAUAAUGUUAGCUGAAUAUUAAAAUGAUUAUGGGUGGAAGUGAAAAUUGGAUUUGGAAGAUGAACUGAUGGGAAAUGGGCAGUGGAAUAGGAGGAAGUACAAUGAAUAUAUAUAAAAAAAUCCCAGGUGUCAAAAAAGAAUAUUUAUGUAUGCUACUACGGCGGUCCGUGUUUCGUUAGCCCCAAAAUGGAAAACGAGCGAGGUCCCAACCAAAGAAGAAUGGCAACUUAAACUGAUGAAAUACGUGCAGCUUGCACAUUUAACGUAUAGAAUAAGAGAACAAGAAGAAUGUACAUUUAAAGAAGACUGGAAAAUGUUUACUGAAUAUAUGGGUGAAAAUUGUGUUUAUUUAAAAAUGCUGGUAGCAUUAAGAUAAAUUCAACAGUGUAAAUAAGUUUUGGUGGAUGUAACAAUGGAUUACUGAAUGGUUUAGUUCAUGUAAAAUAUGCAGGGGUGUGUGGUAUGCAAAAUGAACCACGGAAAGAGAAGAAGGGAAGUCACUGAUUUAAGGUUGUUAAAAUGAAUAUUUUGAAGUGUAAAUUAGAAAAUUUAUUAUUAUUUUUAUAAAUCAGAGGUACAACGAAUUUUAUGAAGGUGCUGACUAGAGCAUGGAAAGGGCAGGAAUUGGCUGUUUACCCUGCCUCAACUUACCAAAUAAAACACUGCAAUCUAGAAUGGUACAGAUUUCAGAGCACUGGGUGUUUAUGAUCCCUCCCACUAUCACAACCCACCGCCUUCCCCAAAACCCAGUUCACAUCGUUCAAGGCAUAGCUUGCAGAGGGUGCUUAUUUCCCUCCUUGCUAACUGACACAGUUUGCCCCCACCACCUAAAAAGAAUGCAGUUAGUAUUUUUGCACAGGAAGAUAAGAAAAUUAACCAUUUAUUACAAAGUUAUAAUAGAGUUAAAGUUAUUAUAAAGUUAUAAUAAAUGAUGUAAUAGUGUCGUCACAAAAGUAAAUACAUCUGACUCACAUUUUAACAUGCACAAAAUACCAGUGAAGCCCAUCAAUAAGUAUAGUAAAUUCACAUUAACGUAUAAGGCAACAAUGACUGUGUGUGUGUGUGUGUGUGUGUGUGUGUGUGUGGUUAAGUCAAACAGUGGGCCAAAGGUGAGAAAAGGGUUAACAAUAAAACAAUGAAUGUUAUUGAUGGUUGAUGGCUAACAUAAUCACUUCAGCACUGAAUCAUUGAGGCAGGGGUUAAAGUUAAUAUACAGACAGUUAGCAGACAGCUAAGAGCUGAUGCUGAUUAUAGCGGACUAAAUUGCAUCGGAACAAAUAUUGUCAUAUUCAAAAAAUUCCACCAUCACACCCCAACCCAAAAAAAUCCAAAUGGUAUCCGAGAAAAUUGCAGCAAGGCUGUUUUGCAAAGGGAGUAGACCAGUGGGCUGUGUUCACAGCUCAGUAACAAAUUCUGCCAUCAUCCCUAUUACUUACUACAGAGUUCCACAAUAAUAUGUUCAUUCCCUCCCUCACCCUUCUCCCACUCCAUUGCCACAAAUCCCAGAGUUCUAAUUCUAGGGUAGGUGAAUCUACACUAUCUAAAAUAUAGAUUACAUAUAGUAUAUCUAAAAUAUAGUUUGCAGUUAUCUGGUGAAGCAGAAAGUCCCUUGACUUUACAAUCCUAUAUACUACAAGCAAGCCUUGCUGAAUUCAACAAAGCAUACCCAGGUACGUAGACAUAGGACUGUAGCCUUAAAUCCAAAAUUUCUUACAUUUUGAAAUCACACUAAUAGUAAGCCCUGACUCAUCAUUUUUGCACCUUGAGAGUUAAAUGUUCUGAGGUUUAUUGUCAGCGACAUUGGCUGAAAAAUUCGGCUAGUAAGAGGGAGAAAAUCUAAUGGGCAGAAGAUUUAGGACAUAAUAUACAAUUUGAGGACUGGGGGAAAUUGUGGAAAGUGCCAGUAAAUUUCAAAUUUACAGACUGCUCUCUUUUGAAAGAAAAUUACAUGAAAAUGAUGUAUAGAGGGUAUAUUACACCAGUACAGAUAGCAAAAAUGUAUAAAACUGGGUCAAACAUAUGUUGGAAAUGUAAAGAAAAAGAAGGGACUUUUUAAUCAUAUGUGGUAUGUGGUAGGAAUGUAGAGAAAUGGAAAAAAAUUGGGAAAUGAUUUACAAUGAAUUGAAAAAAUGUUCAAAAUGACAUUUGUAAAAAAAACCCAGAGGCAUUUUUGUUAGGGAUUCUAGGACAAGACCUGCCAAGAAAAAUAACUUAUUUAUGUAUGCGACAACAGAGGCAAGAGUCUUGAUAGCACAAGGAUGGAAGAAUGAGGAAAUCCCAAUGAAAGAACAGUGGCAAGAAAAACUGAUGACUUGUGCAGAAUUGGCUAAAUUGACAUACAAACUGAGGGACAAGGACAACUGUGACUUUAAGGAAGAAUGGGAGCUUUUUACAAAUUAUUUAAAAAGACAACAAAACGAACUGGAUUCCUGGGCAGGGUUUGAAUAAACAUACACAAAUUUAUUGGCUGAUAACAUGAUAGAUAGAUAACGGAAGGAUAUGUACAAGUUUAUAACAUGCAGAGAGUAAUAUGUGCUGAGAAAUCAGAGAGAGGAUAUGAGGGAAGUCUCGGGGGAGGGCGGAGGGUUUGAGGGGUGGGGAAAAGGGGGGGAAAUAAUGAAUAUGAUAUGUUUUGAAAUUUUGAUGUGCUGAAAUUGUUAAUAAAAAUAUUUUAAAAAGAAAAAGAAAAUCUUUCCCCCAUACCCAAAUUACAGUUUCCUGAUGAAAGCCCUAUUCCAACUUUUAUUGCAACCUUAGAAAUUGUGACUAGCGCACUUUGAGACCUCUGCUAAAGAUUAGCAAUAUGGCAGAAAAUGGUGCUGCACAAAUAAAUUGAACUUUGGUAUGUUUUAGUAUUUCAUAUUCUUUUUCUCCUUUUCUUGGUACGUGUCACUACAAAUAUAGCACAUUACCAGGCUCUCUGUCUCUGCCAAGGGAUAAUUAAAACUAUAAAUGUUUAAAGACUGCAAUUUCCUCGAGUUUUAUUGAUAGAAAAUGAAUAGCUUGAUUUGGGUGGAUUCAUCAUGUCUAUUUAGAUUUGAGGCUCAUAAAAAUGGGUUCUGAUGCUGGACAAUCUUCUGUCAGAAAAGAGAAUCUUUCCCGCAUACCUUGUUUUAGUGCAACAAAUCAUCUAAAUUAGGUUUACUGUCGCUUGCAAAAAGUUCAGGCCAGAAAAAGUAAUAGAGCCCCUUCCUUCCUUCCUUCCUUCCUUCCUUCCUUCCUUCCUUCCUUCCUUCCUUCCUUCUUCUCUUCCCUUCCCUUCUCUUCUCUUCUCCUCCCCCUCUUCUUUUUUAGAGCAAUGGUUUAGUCUGGCUGCAAAAUAAAUAAAUAAAUGAGCCAAUAAUGAAGCCUCUGGAAAAGACACUAAUUCCACUAUGGUGAACUAAUUUUAAUCAUAUUGCGACAGGCGAUUCUUCCUUUAUGAAUUGUUCCAGUUUUCCUUCUCACGAGCUGUAGCAUUAGUGAAGCACUGAUUGCAUAGCCUCCAAGUGCCCAUGUUUUCCAGGGAUAGUCCUGGAAUUUCAAAAGCCAUCCUGAGUUGUUCUCAGAAUCCCGAGCUCAGGGAGGACAAUGAGCCAGUGCUUGUCCUGAAGGAUGGAAGGCACAAGGGAGCAUCCUUGACUGCUGCUGCCAUACAUGUCUGGCUUAUUGGGUUUUAUCUAGGAUAAAUGUAUGUACAAAAAUAUGUUUUAAUGUGAUUCCAUUGAGAUCCCAAGAUGAAAUUUUGAAGAUAGCUCUUAGAAAUAUUAAAUAAUCAAUGCAUUUUUUGGAAUUUUAAAAUCAUUAAUUUUUAACAACUUUUUAAAAUUUUACAACUUUCAUUUAAAAUUUUAAGUAAGUCCAUCAUAUGACACAUCAUAUUAAAGCCCGUGAUGUUCUGAAGAGAUUGGUGUUCUUGGUUUUGGUGUAUCUCACUCCUGGGCUGAGCUUUAAAGGCUUUUGUGUAGUACGACAAGGCCAAAAUUGUCAAUUUUUAGAAAUUUCAGACCCUCAUAGCUCAAAAAUUAGCUGAGAUUAAAAAUAAAAUUUAAACUUUGUUUUGAUCAUUCAACAAGUGUACAAAAUAUUAAGAAAAUUGGAUAACAUGAGGUAAAAAAAAAGUUGGAUCACUUGAUUUGGAAUGACCCAUUUCAAAUAUUUCAGAGAUCUCUGUACUAAGGAGUUGGUGAAUACUUCAAAAAAACAAAAAACAACCUUUUAAUAGAGCACUUUCUUUGACAUUUGGAUCUACCAUCACAUCUAUUUCCUUUCGAUUUUCUGCUCCACAAUAUCUAGCUUUGUUCAAGGAGCAAAAGGCAUGUAAUUGUCGUUUCCCAUAAUAAAUAAGAACUUACCUGCACUGUAGAUGAGAAACUAUAAUUUUGCAAAGCACAAGUAUCCCUAUACUGAUGUCAAAGCAAUACCACAUUUCUUGUAAUCAGUUUUCCAGUUGCUAGCAAUUAGUCCAGAUUAGGUGCCAAUUAGGCUCUUUCAGAAGAAUCUUGUGGUUUCUUGCUUGACUUUCAUUUUAAUGCGAACCAUGGGUCUUAGUAUGAAGUAGAAGGGAUUUUCAUCCUUCUGGUCCUAUAAACAACAACUUAGCGCUGAAAUAAGUAGCUGGCCUUAUUACCAUCGGAAAUGGGACCAUUCUUGCUCAUGAAUAUUCUUCUUCUUCUUUUUAACAUCAAUGGUCAUGGCCUGAAACAGAUGGACAGAAACUUCUCAGUUACUUCAGUACUGUAUUGAUAUUACCGUGGGUGACAGGACAAAAACUGGACCAUGGUUUUGGUUUGGGCAGGUUCAGAAUCUUGGCAGGGCUACUUCGUUCGUAGGAGAAGCCUCCCCUGACAAUAUAUAAAAACUGCUCUUGUUGAAAGCCACAUAUUUAUGCGAAACUUCAGUCUGAAUCAUUAGAUUUCAUAACUGCCAUGCAUAAUUCCAAUCUUCCUGCCAAUCGCCUGAUCUCAGCCCUAUACAGUGGUACCUCUGGUGACAAAUGGGAUCCAUUCCGGAGGCACAGCCGUAUCCCGAAAAUUUCAUAACCGGAGGACCACUUCUGCACACACAUGAGCAGCAAACCCACGUCUGAGUUUGCUGUGUUCACAACCCGAAGAUUACGUUACCCGAAGGUUAUGUAACCCGAGGGUCCACUGUAAUGUUUUAUAGAAAUGCAGUUGUACUGCGUUAUGGAUCUUGUAAUUCCCAGUAACUCCAUUACAUUUAGUGCAUGUCUCUUAUAUACAGAACAUAGGAGACAACUCCUAUUGGGGGCUUUGGGGCCCCCAAUAAUAAUAAUAUAAUAAUAAUAAUUUAUUUUUUAUACCCUGCCCAUCUGGCUGAGUUUCCCCAGUCACUCCGGGCAGCUUCCAAUCAAGUGUUAAAAACAAUACAGCAUUAAAUAUAUAAAAACUUCCCUAAACAGGGCUGCCUUCAUAUGUCUUUUAAAGAGAAGAUAGCUGCUUAUUUCCUUUGCAUCUGAAGGGAGGGCGUUCCACAGGGCAGGCGCCACUACCAAGAAGACCCUCUGUCUGGUUCCCCGUAAAUAAAAUAUUUGAGGGGGCUGUCCCCCGCUCCAAGUUGAUGGACAUUGCCGUUCAAAUGGUGUGUGCACUGCGUUAUGUGGGACAGGGCUUACCUGGGCUCCCUCAAUGUUUUAUUCAAGUUGGCACCCCUGAUGCAGAACAUGCAUGCCUGAGAUCAAUAUUAAUUGGAAACUGAAAAGUACACAAUGCUGUUCUCCCCGCAAGUCAUUAACAGUCAGAGAUCCAGGAGCAAAAGUGGCUGGCACUGGUGCCAUUCGCGUUGACGAUAUGCAACAAGGGACUUGCUGCUUCGAUGAGGAGUAGCAUGUUGUGCAUUUCCAUGUCAGCAGCCUGCAUAUGGAAGCCUUUAAACAUUCAUAAAAGAUCCACUGGGGCUUCUAAUUAUUGUGAAGCAUCUCUUGGCGGAACUGUUUCUACCCCUGUAAGAAUGCGCUGUAAAAAUAAUUAGAUGAUGAGAUUUAGAUCAAAACCGCUAACUGGUGCUUCAAGAGUCUUGCUCGUCCCACAUAUAUGGAGCUUACAGAAACGAAAUGUUGAAAUAUGUAUUCACAUGAAAGGGGAACAGUCUUAUUGUGGUUCGGAUUUUGGGGAGGACCCAAAAUACCCCCUCCAGCCGUUAAUAUUUUGUUUCCUGUGGUUAACUAAGAGGAGAGAAAAUCUCCCUUUCUUCCACCCCAUCCCUUUCUACAAAGAAAUAAUAAUAAUACCGAAUUUGAGAAUCUUUCAAUUUCUAGAGAGCCCUACUAUUAAAAGACCACUUGAGAAACUUGCUUUAAUCAAGCUUAAACUUGGGGGGGGGGUUUCUUUCCUCUCUUUUUUUUAACAACAGCAGAUCACAUUAUAUGUACGUCAUAGGCAAGCCAACAUGUAGCCAAUUAGGUGACAUCACUUCUACAAAAGGAGCAGAACAUCUUUAUUUAAUCAAAAACAAACAAGCCCAAUUAUAAGCUUAAGCAAUUAGAGAGAGAGAGAGAGGAAGAUACACAUUGUGAAUUCAUUGGAAGCGAAGAAUGGUCAUUUUUAUUUUUAUUUAAAAAAACAUAGGUGAAAGAACAGCCACUGUGAGGAAGUUGGUCAGAGCUACUAGAAGCAGACCUCAGAAACAGUUGUGUAUGACAUCUCAGUUGCGAGUAUCAGACGGUGAGGAUAAUAGAUUGUCGGUUUUGCUGGAAUCCUCACAAUGUUAGACUGGCACUCUAAGUCAUAGAUAAACAUGAACGAGUAACAAGUCCAUUAUUUUGUAAAGAUACCAGUCUGUAAAGAAGACUGCUGUUUUCAGUUCAAAUUAAUUUGGAAACAUAUCACUGCCAAUUCCUCAAUUAAUAUAUAUGCGGCAAGCCAUGACCAAAAUUUGACUUUUUAUCAUUGAUGUACCACCAAUACAAAAUAUGUUCAUUUUGCCCCAUGAUAGAAAUUGGUUCUGAAUGUCUUUAAUAUGCCUAAUAUGAGAAGACUCCCUGGAAAAGACCCUGAUGUUGGGAAAGAUGGAGGGCACAAGGAGAAGGGGACGACAGAGGACGAGAUGGUUGGAUAGUGUUCUCGAAGCUACCAGCAUGAGUUUGGCCAAACUGCGGGAGGCAGUGGAAGACAGGAGUGCCUGGCGUGCUCUGGUCCAUGAGGUCACGAAGAGUCGGACACAACUAAACAACUAAACAACAACAACAAAUGAGUUUCCCCAUAAAAUGUAUCCAAAGACCUGGAAAUGUAUCUACUUAGAGACCUUGGCAUUUUCCAAGAAAUAUACAUAAACUGAUUCCAUUCAUCCUUUCUUGGUCAAUCCAUAUAUUGGUCAAUCCUGGUGAUCUUAUAGCCUGAAACAGAAGUACUGUGAAGGAAAGCAAGUUUUUUUAAGGAACAAAAUUUCCUGGACCAAAGUUAUAACUAUGCAACUGUUGUAAAGAUUAAAUUAAUAUUAUUUGUUUGGUUCAUCACUUGUAUUGUUGGCAGUUUUUUGUGUUUUUUUUACUGCUACGGCAAGUAAAGAUGCAGUUUAGGUCUUUGAAAAAUGCAUAGAAAUCCACUUACUUCAACUCAGUUUCAAGAUAAGAUUAAACCAAAGUAAACCUGACAAUGUUAUGCGAAGCAUCAGCAUCAGUGACAUACCAAAAAUGCAACGAGCUAUAAUAUUUACUAAUUUGACAGCAAGUAUUACUGGGCCUAUAGUGCAAUUUAAUCUCAAACUCACUGCUUGCCAGCUUGCCCGUGAUUUUAUAUUUACUGUCCUGGACUCUUUCUGGACUCCCUUAGAGUUGGAUAGCUUUGCUCUGCAGGUGGAAAAAAAAUAUUUGUCCAACCUCCUGUACCGUUUUCAUUUAAUGGAAUUGGGAGAGUGUGUUCUUCUGAACUGAAAGAUCAUUUGUUUAAGGGCUCAAGGAAAAGUUUGACUACUUGACUGGGUGUUCACGGAAUGUUGUUGCUGUUCCCUUUUUUUUUAAAAAAAAAAGUGAAUGCUCAAAUUUACAAAACAGAAAACACAUAUUCACUUUACAAACAUUCUUUCUGUCUGUGGUGAAUUUGAAGAUUCUGGCUUUCCUAGUUAGUACAUUUUGGGUUUGGGACACACGCUAUGCCAAAGUCCCUGCCCACACAUUUCACUCAGCACUACAUUUGGCAAUGCAGGCCGGAUUUGAUUAUGAGCACAUCUAAGCAUGUGACGAUCUUUUACGCAAACAUAUUCUCAUGUUGCAUUUGGUGCUUAAAUGAUUUUAAUCCCUGUGCACUAAUUUAUACCCCCUGAUCCAGAAUGCCACAGGCAUCCUAACGCACAACUAGCCCCUGUGCCAACAAGCUUCCCCCCCCUCUCUGAAAUAGUUCUGUACAGAACAGCCAUUUCCUUCUACACAAACCAUUCUUCCUUUUCCUGUGGAGAACAGGAUAGCUCCAUGUAGGGGGAGAAGCUCCAUGGGUCCUUCAGAGAUGCAACAUCUUCCAGGAACUGUCUAAUCAGAAGGAAAAAUCUCAAUUAACAUUUGUAAAUGAUGAGAGAGAUACUCUGCAUAGAUUUGUAGACUUUCGGUGGUAGCCAAUACAGUGGUACCCUGGGUUACAUACGCUUCAGGUGCAGACUCUGCUAACCCAGAAAUAGUACCUCGGGUUAAGAACUUUGCUUCAGGAUGAGAACAGAAAUCGUGCAGCAGCAGGAGGCCCCAUUAGCUAAAGUGGUGCUUCAGGUUAAGAACAGUUUCAGGUUAAGUACUUAACCCGAGGUACCACUGUACUACUCCUACUCAGAGUAGACCCAGUAAAGUUAAUGAACAUGAUGAACUUUGUUUCAUUAAUUUCAAUUUUGAGGUUGAUCCCUCCCGCCCAAAAAGCUCAACAGCUACAAGCUGCCAAAGGCUCUGUUGACCACUCCAAUAGGCAGAUGGCUGAGUCAGAAAAGUGGGCGUAAUAAGCAUUCUUGUUAGAUACACCCUCAAAAGAAGUGAAUGGGUCUUGUGUACAUCUUCAAAUAAAAUCAGCUUGCAAUUGAUCCAAUGGCAUUUGAACCAUUCUUUUGGCUUGACAACUCACAAAAUUUGUGUUUUGCUUUGCAAUGAACUCGUGUACCCCUUAAAGGGAGGGAAGGAAUACCAUAAAAGGAAGAAAAUAACUCACCCACUUAUUUAUAGGGGUCACAGGAACAUAGGCAGCACCCUUAAACUGAGUCUGGGUCUUGGUCCCUCUAGCUUUGUAUUAUGAACACUUUUCAGCUGUGCCUCUCCAGGAUUUCAAGGCAUGAUUCUUUCAGUGCCCUAUGUGCAGAUUUUGGGACAGAACCUGAGAAUUCUGCAUACAAUGCAUGUACUCUAUCACUGAGCGAUGGCCGUUGCCGAAAGUGAGGAUAUGAAGCUACCUUAGUCAUGCUGGCCACAUGACCCAGAAGCUCCCUCGGCCAAUAAAGUGAGAUGAGCGCUGCAACCCUAGAGUCGGCCACGACUGGACCUAAUGGUCAGGGGUCCCUUUACCUUACAGCACUCCAAGGCCUAAGGGAGCAGAGAUGGGGACUUGCUUCCAAGGUCCUUUUACAGGAGAUGGCAGGGAUUGAAUGAGGGACCUUCUGAAUUGAAUCAGGCACAAUCAGACUCUAGUGACUUCAUCCAGCGAGCAUAAAAGGAUGCCUAAAAAGCCCCCUUUGCCUCCCUUCAGGUUAAAUAUCCAGUACUUCUAAAGCUUAGCAAGGGGAGAAAAUUAGGAAUGCUUCUCUUUUAAACAUUCCCUCCCUGUUUUCCAGUUGAGCAACCCAGCUGCAUUGAAUUGUGGCUAUUCUGCUGGAGUCUCAAGGUUCAUUAUGUUGUAUAUCAUGGUCUUCAGGGCUUUUGACGGGAACAGCUGUGCUUCUGAAACAGGGACUCAGUGGCCAAAUAGUAAAGGCUGCUUGCUUCGAGAAGAGAAUGUUUUCCCCAUUCUGUUCCUUUAUUGUUCCCCUGGUUCACUCUAUACUGCAAUCUACUUCUCUGGAAUUCUGGUUUAAAUGGGAUAACAUCAGAAAUUGAUUCUGGGAUUGGAUCAAGCAGUUUGUUGCAGCUUCCAGAGACUUCCAUCGAUCUGCAUCUUCUAUACACGCACACUACCCAUGAGAUUGCAGGCACUGAUGUUGUUGGAAUCUUAUUCCCAUCAACUUCAUCAGCCCCAACCAGCAACCCAUCAGGGAUAAUGGGAGUUGUUGUCCAAAAGCACCUGAAAGUCUUUAGGUUCCAACCCCUUGUGUAUAGAAUUGCAGCUAUGGGAAGGUGCAUAUUUUGCAUGCAAAAGGUCCCAGAUUCAAUUUUUAGCAUCUCCAGUUGGGGAGUGACGCACCAUGUCUGAAACCAUGAAGAACCACUGCCAGUCAGGAUGGACAAUAUUGAAGGUGGCAUCCAUUAGAGAAGCCCCAUUCACACAAACACUUCAUGUGGAAUGGGACUUCCUUGUCACUGGUCAUACCCCACCUCGGCACGUUGUGUGACAAACAUCUUGAGUCAGGGAACCUGCUGUACUCAGUGGAGGCUCCUGGCAUGUUCUAGAAUUCUGCAAAAUGAGGUCAGAAUAAGUUCAUUGAUCCUCUCUGCAAGUUCAGCAGGAAUCCCUACUGUAAAAGGUAAAGGACCCCUGGACAGUUAAGUCCAGUCAAAGGCAACUAUGAGGUGCUUUCAGGCCGAGGGAGCCAGUGUUUGUCCACAGACAGAUUUCCGGGUCAUGUGGCCAGCAGAACUAAACCGCUUCUGGUGCAACAGAACACCGUGACAGAAACCGUGACAGAAACGCCGUUUACCUUCCUGCUGCAGUGAUACCUAUUUAUCUACUCGCACUGGUGUGCUUUCAAACUACUAGGUUGGCAGGAGCUGGGACAGAGCAAUGGGAACUCACUCCAUCGCAGGGAUCUGAACCACCAAUCUUCCAGUUGGCAAGCCCACAGUGAUUUAGACCAUAGCACCACCCAUGUCCCCCCAACAAUGCAUGGAGGGUAGUGUGGUCAGAUAAUGGAGAUGUAAUAGGUAGCUAGCAUGUUCCCUCAUGUUAUUCAAGUCACAUGAGGCUUCAAACACCUAUGUGAUGGAGGCAUUGAGGAGACAGAGCCAGUGUGGUGUAGCGGUUAAGAGCAGUAGACUCAUAAUCUUUGGAACCGGGUUUGCGUCUCCACUCCUCCAUAUGCAGCUGCUGGGUGACCUUGGGCCAGUCACACUUCUCUGAAGUCUCUCAGCCCCACUCACCUCACAGAGUGUUUGUUGUGGGGGAGGAAGGGAAAGGAGAAUGUUAGCCGCUUUGAGACUCCUUCAGGUAAUGAUAAAGCGGGAUAUCAAAUCCAAACUCCUCAUUGUUGUGAGUUUGGGUGUGUGUGCAUGGUUAAGCUGUAUGAUGCUUGGGUCCCUUCUAAUUCCUGGAUCCAGCAAGGGUUAAAAUCCGAUAGAGGAUCCCAUUGUUAAAUUAGUCAGGCAAGGUCCAUAAUGGCCCCUAAGUAUGGGCCUUUGGUAUAAGAGGGGAAGUUGCUUUGUGCCAGAGGGCAAAUGGGUGAGCUGCCUACUUCACCUGGCUGCUAAUGAGAAGGACAAUAGCCAGAGUAUUGCCUACGAGAGAACUGAGCUAGAAUCAGGCAGAAGUCAGAAGGUGAGAGCUAUUCUUGAGUUCUGCUUGAAUCCAAGGCUGUGGCUAUGGGGCAAGCAAGACCUUCUGGGCUGUUAAUGCCCAGAAGCCCCUCCAUCAUAGGCUCAGGUUGUAUAUGUGUGUAAAUAAUCCAUAUGUCAUAAAGAUAUCACAGUCUCCGCUGACCCUCAUUUCAAGGAAACAACACCCUGGGUUGCCUGGCGCCCCUUGAAUUUUGCACCGCUCAGAGAUUUGCAUGGCGGGCGACAAUAGAAACCACAGUGUUUUCUCAUAUUGCUCCAUGUAACUGAGACACUGAUCAGUCAAAAAGUUGCUAAUUGCAACCAUACUCUGCCCCCUUCAUUUCGUCAUGCAUGUUCGGUACAGCUGCAUUGGACUGCAGAAUAAAUUGGGUUUUUAUUUCAGCAUUACUCUGUGUAUACUCAGGGGGAAGGAAGCGAGGCUUCUGCUGCUGUUUUGAUGUUUGAAUUAGGUACAACAGAGAGGGCAUGUGGACCACUAUGUGCCAUCUGGUGCUAUAAAAUGUAAGACUGGACAUAUGAGGUACAGCCUGAUAUUAGUUAGCAUUACAGUAGAAUGUGAGAUGUUUCCGAAAGACCUGAACUUUAGUGAACCUCAUGCAAAUGAACCUGCAAACAUUUUGCAAAGAAAAUAUCGCAGAUAUGUGAAACGAUGCCUGAUACAAAGGAUGAAGGCCGAUUAUUCCCAUUAGACCAAUAGAAAUGGAAAAUAACACAGUGAUAAGUCUGAAGUGCAGCUGGGGAAACAUAGAUUAAAUAUUAUAUAAGAAUUUGAUCGACGGAUGAAGAGUCAGGCUGAGGUUGCCAAAAAAGCCUGAGAAUUUCCAUCGCUUGUGACGUUCAAGGCUAGGCCACCCAUCUGUUUAGGAAUAGGAAUGAUUUAGUAAUCAGAAGUAAUCUAUCCUGCCACGAUGCAGAGAAAUAGACUCGAUGGCCGACCGGUAGCUACCGUUCCAGCUUUACUGAGCUUGUGAUUCAUGGGAAUAAUAAGUCAUUGGAGAAAACUCCUGGAAAAAAUAAGUAUUUAGAGUGUAUUACUUUCAAAUGUGUCUCUCUGUCUCUUUUUCUGUACCUGUUGAGUCAUAAAUAUAAAUAUUUAAGGGGGAGAAAUGCUUAGAGUUGGGACUCCCCUAUAGCUCAGCUCUGGAGCUGAUAUCAAAAUGUGGAUCAGAAAGACUUACUUUACCAUUAGGCAUGGUAAGACAAAACCUGAUUCCCAGUAGCAAGGAUUUGGGGUGUGGAAAGUUUAGAAAUCCAGAUCUGGAUUAUGCGUCAUCACUAAAGAUUUGAUUUACAACCAUUUCUUUCGAGCCAAUACUCACACUGUUGUGCCAGUGAAAUAAACAAGAAUAUAACACUGGCAGAGAAAUUUGAGGAACGGGGUCUGUCUGUCUCCUUGACUUAGCUAAACUGGACCUCUGGUCCAAUCACUUUCAAAACGAAUCUUGGCAGUCUUGGAUAAUUCUUGGUUAUCUCUCCACUAUAUACUUAAAGCACAUUAUAGCACACUAACAGUCAUAGCUUCCCCCCAAAGAAUUCUGGGAACUGUUGUUUUCCCUGCAUCCUGUUCCCAGGAUUCUUUGGGGGAAACCGCAAGCUGCAAAUGUGUAGUGUGGAGGUAAUCAGACUAAUCAGAUUAGAGAAAUGAAAAUGUGUCCCAUUCAGCAGCGCCGGCCCACCUAUGAGGCAAGGUAAGCUGACUGCCUUAGGCAGCAGGAUCCCCAGGGAUAGGCCUCUAAGGAAUGCAUCAACAGCUGUGAUGUGGUCCUUGGAGGCUGGAUCUGCUGCCACCUCGCAAUGCCCACUCUAUAGCUGCCUCUAUAGGAGGUGAUACUGGUCUCCCCUGAACCAUGUUCCCAAUGUAGAUCUUUAUUUCCCUCUUGAUGUAGAUCUUCACUCAUCCCUUCUUCCCUGGAGGGGCAGGGGCGCCAUUUUGUGGCUCACCUCAGGUACCAAAACGUCUUGGGUCAGCCCUACUUUCAGUCACCUCUAGCAAAGGAGAUAAAUUUAACAGUCUUCUCAAACUCACUGGACCAGGGUAUGGUAAAGGGUGACCCAGGGAACCCAAAUCCCUGAUCUUCUGCCCUAGGCUCCAGGUAUCCAGCCCCUUUGAUUCCUUGCUUUAAAACUGUUAAAAUGUUGGUUACAGGACAGCUGAGCACACUGCAAGCUGCAGUGCUGGAGAAAUCUCAGCCACCCUCUACAGUGGUACCUCGGGUUAAGAACUUAAUUCGUUCUGGAGGUCUGUUCUUAACCUGAAGCACCACUUUAGCUAAUGGGGCCUCCUCCUGCUGCUGCUGCUGCUGCUGCUGCACCGCUGCUGCACGAUUUCUGUUCUCAUCCUGAAGCAAAGUUCUUAACCUGAGGUACUAUUUCUGGGUUAGCGGAGCCUGUAACCCGAAGCGUAUGUAACCCGAGGUACCACUGUAUCUCCAUUAGCCUGGAGGCAAUGUACAUGUAUAGACAUUACAUUAGCAUAUGCUAAAUUUUUGUAUAUUUAUGUCAUGGGCCUGCAUCCUGAGUCCUAAGAAUCCCCAACCCUGACUUAAAAUUAAAGAUGUGAAGGCCUGGGGAAUAGAUUGGAAAAUUGGGAAGGGGGAUGCCUCUUAUUUUUUUUCCCUUUCCUCAUCCCCCCCCCCAAAUUUAGAUGGACUGGAAGAAUCAGAACCAUCGUUCAGCCUCGUCACAGAGGUCCAGCUCCAAGGGCCUUCUGGCAGUACCCUCUCUGUGAGAAGCAAAGUUACAGGGAACCAGGCAGAGGGCCUUUUCAGUGGUGGCGCCUGCCCUGUGGAACACCCUCCCAUCAGAUGUCAAGGAAAUAAACAACUACCUGACUUUAAGAAGACAUCUGCAGGCAGCCCUGUUUAGGGAAGUUUUUAAUGUUUGAUGUUUUAUUGUGUUUUCAAUAUUCUGUUGGGAGCUGCCCAGAGUGGCUGGGGAAACCCAACCAGAUGGGCAGGGUAUAAAUUGUUGUUGUUGUUGUUGCUGCUGCUGCUUCCUGUCUCCAGUGUCAUUCCUUUUUCAUUUGACCUCUUAGUAUCUUCAACAUUUGUAGGAAACCUGACUCUUUUAGCACAAUUCAUUCUAAACACAGGACCCCUGUUUAGAAUUUCAACUGGCCAGUGAGGGCAACAUGGUAUAUAGAUAGACACUUGAGUAAGAAUAAGGUUUGUGAGAUAGCAAUUGUUUCUCAGGCAAGUAUUUAUAAUCAGCAUCCAAUACUCUUCUGAAACCAUGGGUCUAUGAGGAAGAUGACAUAAAAAAUGUCAUGAUUAUUAGUAAAGACCCCCCCAGUCGGUGUUAAUUUAUUAGCAAGAGCUCUAUGAUGCUGAAAGAAGAAACAGAUCAUAUUCCUCUGAUGAGAUGAUACAUUUACUGAGAAAUCCUGUGCAUGUCCAGCUCUGACACUGAGGUCCAGCUCUUGAGGGCCUUCUGGCAGUUCCCUUACUGCAAAAAGUGAGGUUACAGGGAACCAGGCAGAAGGCCUUCUCGGUAGUGGUGCCCGCCCUGUGGAAUGCCCUCCCAUCAGAUGUGAAGGAGAUAAACAACUAUCUGACUUUUAGAAGACAUCUGAAGGCAACCCUGUUUAGGGAAGUUGUUAAUGUUUGAUGUUUUAUCAUGUUUGUAAUAUUCUGUUGGGAGCCACCCAAAGUGGCUGGAGAAACCCAGCCAGAUGGGCGGGGUAUGUAUAAAUAAAUAAAUAAUCAGGGAACUGCCCCCCCCCAUUUCCCCUGAGGAAAAUAUUCACCUAAAAUUUGGGCAGAGCGCUAACCAAACACCUUCUUCCUCCUCCUUUCGGGGGAACAAAUGGGAAAUGGAGUGUCCAGAUGGAAAAGAGGGCAGGACUUCUACAACUUUAAUCGUUGGAUAGAAGAGGGGAUUUCAGCAGGUAUAGCCUGUCAUAUAAGCAACGUCUGCUGCAGUUCCCUCUUCUACAGAAUUUAUGGUGCCUGUACUCUUUGCUUUGAGGGACGCGGGUGGUACUGUGGGUUAAACCACAGAGCCUAGGACUUGCCGAUCAGAAGGUCGGCAGUUUGAAUCCCCGCGACGGGGUAAGCUCCUGUUGCUCGGUCCCUGCUCCUGCCAACCUAGCAGUUCGAAAGCACAUCAAAGUGCAAGUAGAUAAAUGGGUACCACUCCGGCAGGAAGGUAAACGGCGUUUCCGUGCGCUGCUCUGGUUCGCCAGAAGCAGCUUAGUCAUGCUGGGCACAUGACCCGGAAGCUGUAUGCCGGCUCCCUCGGCCAAUAAAGCGAGAUGAGUGCCACAACCCCAGAGUCGUCUGCGACUGGACCUAUGGUCAGGGGUCCCUUUCCCUUUUUACUCUUUGCUUUAUGGACGUCAGCGCCCCUAGGCCUAGAACGACUCAGGACUGAUCCAUCCCCCAUCUAGUUGUUACGUUCAAAUUUUCAUGGUCAGCAUGGACGCUCCUCUUAUCUUAAAAUAGUCCCAAUAACGUCUCAAAAAGUCCCAGCUACUUCAUUUUAAACUGCUGAUUCCAUCCUGCCAGCGAGAUGAAAUGUUACACAAGCCUUAAAGAUCUUUCUAACCUCUACAGCAAUAUUUCAAAGUAACAGUUUAUUCAAUUAAAGAUAGAGCAGUUAAAAACAGACAAUAUUUUCAAAGUAUCGUAGCAACAGGUGAUUGAAACGUUGCCCGGAACUCUGGGGAAAGGGUUUGCCAAAUAGGCAGAAUUCUAGCGAUAUCUUUCUUAUAGCAAAUGGAAUAAAUCUAAUAUUGUUUUGGACACAUUACCCUGGAUUACAUCAUGACAUGAAAUUCUUUAUGCGUUCUAACAAUAGGUGAUGCACAGACAGAAGAAGGAAGAAACAUGUGUAUAAUAAUAAUAAUAAUAAUAAUAAUUCCAGCCUUUUCCAGCUGUGGUCCAGAGAUUUCUUGUUCAGUAUACAUGGCUGUUGAUCAUCUCUCCUCUUCCAUGGGAGACUAGGCUACCCCUGCUUUCCCUUUACCAGCAGGCAAAUACCAUUUUUGUUCCAAUGGGCCUCUGGCCACCAACUGGCUUGGUGGCAGGAUCUUCUGAGGGUAUGUGUGUUGUUCUUUCCCCUUCCAGUGCUUUUAAAUAGUUUUAAGUAUUUUCAGUGCUGUUUUUAAUAGGGCUACUUAUUUAAUUGUUGUUGUUUUUAUUUCUUGAGUGUUCUUAGUUGUAUCUGUUUUCCUUUAUGCUGAGAGCUGCCUAGGGUCCUGAGCUGGGAGAAAAUAUCAAAUAAAAUAUAGAAAAGGC